This is a long non-coding RNA of Ostrea edulis (European flat oyster), 774 nucleotides long. RefSeq lists it as uncharacterized. The record is from RefSeq and is a predicted model, not a curated record. NCBI's taxonomy places the organism in Eukaryota, Metazoa, Mollusca, Bivalvia, Ostreida, Ostreidae. The transcript has 2 exons.
GAGACAGAACCCCAUGAAAGUCAGUGGGUUUUUCCUGGUUGUGAUGAAAUAGGUGACCGGGAUGAGGACCAACUGAUGAAAAACGAUUCCGAGGGAAUGAGCCAGGACGAAUAUUCCCAGACUACUGAAGACUGUUUCUAUGUCAGACGCCUUCAAUAUCCCUGUAGCAAUCAGACUUGCAACUCCGAUUGGGGUCAACCUGAAAGAUGACCAACAAGUUUUCACCCUAGACAUAUCAAAUAUUUAAAUACUGUAAAGAGGUUGAUGCUGUUUGUUGAACACAUUGAAUGUACAUGUGUGUGAACCUAUUGUCAACGUGAAUGCAUCUCGAAUAUCCUUAAAAAUAUUGAUUAUUAAUUCAUGAGACACCUUUCACAUGAUGUUCAGCAUAACUAACCAGAUGACCCAAUUCAUGAUGUACAUCACCAUAAUAGAGAUGACUUCAAAAAACUUGAUGAAAAGUUCCGCCCUCUCCCCGAGGUUGCUGGCCGUAAUACCAAAGAACAAACACGCAACAAUCAGGCCUGCAACAAUUAAUGACAGAAACAGAAUCAUUUGAAUUCUGUAUAUGGUGUUAUGUCUGGAUCAAAUACUUUUUAGUUUUAUUUUAUAUUUCGUACUUGCCUAGUAUGUUGAGACUACUUGUGGAUGAGACAAACUUAUGUUCAUCCGUGAUGGAGCUAUUGGUUCCAUUUACCAACACCACUCGAGUUGACGCGCUGUAUUUUGUUUGAGACUGCAAUAAUAAAUGUUUAUUUUAACGUUAACACCAUA